UGCCAGCCGCCGCGGUAAGACAGAGGGUGCAAACGUUGUUCGGAAUUACUGGGCGUAAAGCGUGUGUAGGCGGUUUUGUAAGUCAGGUGUGAAAGCCGGGGCUCAACCUCGGAAGUGCACUUGAUACUGCAGGGCUAGAGUAUCGGAGAGGUUGGUGGAAUUCUCGGUGUAGAGGUGAAAUUCGUAGAUAUCGAGAGGAACACCGGUGGCGAAGGCGGCCAACUGGACGAAUACUGACGCUGAGACACGAAAGCGUGGGGAGCAAACAGGAUUAGAUA
This 278-nucleotide ribosomal RNA is filed under the name uncultured bacterium. RNAcentral describes it as "partial 16S ribosomal RNA". It matches the Rfam family "Bacterial small subunit ribosomal RNA", at positions 506 to 784 of the family's 1533-position model. The record is from RNAcentral.